AUCUCGUCUGAAUUAUCUGUGCUCAAGGCUGUGAGCAUGGACAUCUCCACGUUCUGGCCACGAACGGGUUUGGGCUGACGUGGUGCUGGUGGACGUGAGGCUUUCUGGUUGUUUCGACAAACACAGAUGAAAAAGAACAGCAGAGCAAUAGCCAGUGGUAUAGCCACACUUGGUACCAGGAUGUACAGGAUUCCCAUACUGUUGCUGCUGCUGCCAUGCUUGGGCAAAUCUGAAGACAAUCAAUACACAAACAUAUUGAGUAAAACAAUGAGUAGUAGCAUAC
Molecule: long non-coding RNA, 283 nt
Filed under: Danio rerio (zebrafish)
Lineage: Eukaryota; Metazoa; Chordata; Actinopteri; Cypriniformes; Danionidae
Description: si:dkey-209n16.3 (ENSDARG00000103867.2)
Source: RNAcentral